GACGAACGCUGGCGGCGUGCUUAACACAUGCGAGUCGAACGGAAAGGCCCUGCUUUUGUGGGGUGCUCGAGUGGCGAACGGGUGAGUAAAACGUGAGUAACCUGCCCUUGACUUUGGGAUAACUUCAGGAAACUGGGGCUAAUACCGGAUAGGAGCUCCUGCUGCAUGGUGGGGGUUGGAAAGUUUCGGCGGUUGGGGAUGGACUCGCGGCUUAUCAGCUUGUUGGUGGGGUAGUGGCUUACCAAGGCUUUGACGGGUAGCCGGCCUGAGAGGGUGACCGGCCACAUUGGGACUGAGAUGCGGCCCAGACUCCUACGGGAGGCAGCAGUGGGGAAAAUUGCACAAUGGGCGGAAGCCUGAUGCAGCAACGCCGCGUGCGGGAUGACGGCCUUCGGGUUGUAAACCGCUUUCGCCUGUGACGAAGCGCGAGUGACGGUAAUGGGUAAAGAAGCACCGGCUAACUACGUG
Molecule: ribosomal RNA, 468 nt
Filed under: uncultured bacterium
Lineage: Bacteria
Description: partial 16S ribosomal RNA
Rfam family: Bacterial small subunit ribosomal RNA
Source: RNAcentral